Molecule: ribosomal RNA, 819 nt
Filed under: Nocardiopsis alborubida
Lineage: Bacteria; Bacillati; Actinomycetota; Actinomycetes; Streptosporangiales; Nocardiopsidaceae
Description: bacterial SSU rRNA
Rfam family: Bacterial small subunit ribosomal RNA
Source: RNAcentral
CGGGUGAGUAACACGUGAGCACCUGCCCCUGACUCUGGGAUAAGCGGUGGAAACGCCGUCUAAUACCGGAUACGACCCGCCACCUCAUGGUGGAGGGUGGAAAGUUUUUCGGUCAGGGAUGGGCUCGCGGCCUAUCAGCUUGUUGGUGGGUUAACGGCCUACCAAGGCGAUUACGGGUAGCCGGCCUGAGAGGGCGACCGGCCACACUGGGACUGAGACACGUACAAGACUUAUGCGGGAGGCAGCAGUGGGGAAUAUUGCGCAAUGGGCGAAAGCCUGACGCAGCGACGCCGCGUGGGGGAUGACGGCCUUCGGGUUGUAAAUCUCUUUUACCACCAACGCAGGCUCGAAGUUCUCUUCGGGUUGACGGUAGGUGGGGAAUAAGGACCGGCUAACUACGUGCCAGCAGCCGCGGUAAUACGUAGGGUCCGAGCGUUGUCCGGAAUUAUUGGGCGUAAAGAGCUCGUAGGCGGCGUGUCGCGUCUGCUGUGAAAGACCGGGGCUUAACUCCGGUUCUGCAGUGGAUACGGGCAUGCUAGAGGUAGGUAGGGGAGACUGGAAUUCCUGGUGUAGCGGUGAAAUGCGCAGAUAUCAGGAGGAACACCGGUGGCGAAGGCGGGUCUCUGGGCCUUACCUGACGCUGAGGAGCGAAAGCAUGGGGAGCGAACAGGAUUAGAUACCCUGGUAGUCCAUGCCGUAAACGUUGGGCGCUAGGUGUGGGGACUUUCCACGGUUUCCGCGCCGUAGCUAACGCAUUAAGCGCCCGCCUGGGGAGUACGGCCGCAAGGCUAAAACUCAAAGGAAUUGACGGGGCCCGCA